RNAcentral lists this ribosomal RNA (440 nucleotides) under uncultured bacterium. RNAcentral describes it as "bacterial SSU rRNA". It matches the Rfam family "Bacterial small subunit ribosomal RNA", at positions 954 to 1392 of the family's 1533-position model. The record is from RNAcentral.
GCUAAACGCGAAGAACCUUACCCACACUUGACAUGCCUCUUUUGGCUUUCAGAGAUGAUUGCCUUCGGUUCGGCCGGGGAGUGCACAGGUGCUGCAUGGCUGUCGUCAGCUCGUGUCGUGAGAUGUUGGGUUAAGUCCCGCAACGAGCGCAACCCUUAUCGUAUGUUGCCAGCAUUUAGUUGGGCACUCGUGCGAGACUGCCGGUGAUAAGCCGGAGGAAGGCGGGGACGACGUCAAGUCAUCAUGGCCCUUACGUGUGGGGCUAGAAACGUGCUACAAUGGGAGUGACAGUGAGCAGCAAGGUCGCGAGGCCAAGCUAAUCUCCAAAAGCUCUCUCAGUUCAGAUUGUCCUCUGCAACUCGAGGGCAUGAAGUUGGAAUCGCUAGUAAUCGGCCAUCAGCAUGGGCCGGUGAAUACGUUCCCGGGUCUUGUACACACCG